AGGUCCAUUCUAAUUCCCUGCAGGUCAGUGCCAGUACCUGCUGGGUUUCGCUUGUGGACCACAUUAAACUGGGAGACUUCAAAAUAUAUGAGCUUACUGGUAGUCUGCUCAUUAACAUGGUUUUCUGGACAUGU
Apteryx haastii (Great spotted kiwi) is the source of this 134-nucleotide small nucleolar RNA. NCBI's taxonomy places the organism in Eukaryota, Metazoa, Chordata, Aves, Apterygiformes, Apterygidae. The record is from Ensembl.